AUUGAACGCUGGCGGCAGGCCUAACACAUGCAAGUCGAGCGGAUGAAGGGAGCUUUCUCCUGGAUGCAGCGGCGGACGGGCGGGUAAUUCCUAGGAAUCUGCCUGAUCUAGGGGGAUGACGUCCGGACACGGGCGCUAAUACCGCAUCCGUCCUGAUGUAGAACGUGGUGGUUCUUCGGACCUCACGCUAUCAGAUGAGCCUAGGUCGUAUUAGCUAGUUGGUUGGGUAAAGGCCUACCAAGGCGACGAUCCGUAACUGGUCUGAGAGGAUGAUCAGUCACACUGGAACUGAGACACGGUCCAGACUCCUACGGGAGGCAGCAGUGGGGAAUAUUGGACAAUGGGCGAAAGCCUGAUCGAGCAACGCCGCGUGUGUGAAGAAGGUCUUCGGAUUGUAAAGCACUGUAAGUAGGGAGGAAGGAAAGUAAGUUAAACCAUUGAUGUCUUGACGUUACCAAAAGAAUAAGCAACGGCUAACUUCGUG
RNAcentral lists this ribosomal RNA (484 nucleotides) under uncultured bacterium. RNAcentral describes it as "partial 16S ribosomal RNA". It matches the Rfam family "Bacterial small subunit ribosomal RNA", at positions 30 to 507 of the family's 1533-position model. The record is from RNAcentral.